Molecule: long non-coding RNA, 653 nt
Filed under: Equus asinus (donkey)
Lineage: Eukaryota; Metazoa; Chordata; Mammalia; Perissodactyla; Equidae
Description: lncRNA (ENSEASG00005026868.1)
Source: RNAcentral
CCCACAUAUUACCUACUUAUUUGCUGUAAUGAACAUGUCAUUCAGCUAAAAUAAGAUUAACUGCUUAAACGGUGGCAUUACAGGCAGAGAAUGUUAAUGCUGCUUUGUGUUUCCUUGUUAAGGUUCAGCAGUUAAAUGAUACGGUGUUGUCGUUUCUUCCUUUGUAAUCAAGAUGGUUUCACUGAGGAUUAGCACUCCCCAGCCGAUUCCCCUGAUGGAACAUUUGAAGCAGCAAAUUUCUAUACCUGGGCCACCGCCAGGCAGCAAUAACAACCUUCAGAAGCAAACCUGUUGGUCUCGUCAGCACUCAGAUUGCACUGCUUUUUGUGAAGCCCCCGUGUGCUCUAAUGGUGAUGGAGAUCUCGCCUGCCAUGCAGACCACGGAAGGAAAAUUGGAGGGAGCUUGGGUGUGCGUCUGGAGAAUAGCACUGUGAUGCCUCAGUUCAGACCUGUUUUGAUUACAAGUGACAGAAACCCAACUCAAACUAGCUGAAGCAUAAAAGGAGAUUUAUUGGAUUACAUAACUGGGAAGUCCAGGAAUUGAUCUAACUUCCAGUUUGACUAGACUCAGGAGCUCAAAGGAGGGUACCAUCUGCACCCUCUACCCUCUUGUCCAUGUUGUCUUCAUGCUUCCCCACUGCACACGGUGUCCU